CACCCACCUCAGUCAGUCCCGCCAGCUUGCUCCGUGCUCGCCCGCAGCUUCGGUGGCCGGCGUCAGCUGCCCUUCCCCAGGGCGGGGAGGGCGAGGUGGGAAACCGAGGGGUAAAAAGGAAGCGACUGUGGUGGCGGCUAAGGAGCGAAAGGGCUCGGCCGCAGGCGGAGGACGAGCAGCGUGGCUUAGGCAGCAGCAGCAGCAGCAGCAGCUCCUUCCAGGUGCCUGUGAGGGGAGGGCAACCGCUCUCGCAGCACCCGAGGGCUGAGCGGACAAGGCGAGACACGCGCGCAGUCUGCGGAUGGAACCGGCGUGGAGCGAGCGGCUUCUACGGUCUGCCACAGCCUCCCAAGGCUGCUGGUUGCAGCUUCUCUUUCCCCUGCUCCUCCUCCUCCUCCUCCUAGCCGGCAAGCUCCAGGCUGCCGCUGGUCUUUGCCGCUUCCCUCAUUAACCUCCUCAGGAGGAGCGCUCCCACCAGAACGCCCUUUAGUCGCGGAGGAGGCGAGUUUGCAAUUGUUAAUGGAGGGGUUUUAGUGCCGUGCCGGCAGGGGUUCUCUCGCGCUCCUCGCUCCCUCACGUGCCUUAAAGGUACACCACUGUUUCACUCCUCGGCUUGGCGCGUAACGCUCGUGAAUGGGGCACAUAAACCCUCGCCAGGAGCGGACGGGGAGGGGGCACGUGACCGCGGAGCGGGCUCUCUCUCUCUCUUGGCGUGAAGGAACGCCGCUUGGAGAAUGGCAAUGAGGAAGGGGGCGGGGCUUCGGAGCCGAGGCCAGCAGGUGUCAAUGGAGUCAAGGGGAAAGAGGAACCUGUUCCAAAGGAGCCGGUGGAAUGGCAAGGAGAGGGAGGAAAGGAGGUGGGAAGGGGAAGGGAUGACUGAUACUCGUGCAAACGGGUCGUGGGCAAGAACGGAGAAGCCUCGGUGGUGGAAUGGCACUUCUCCUCUUAGAGUAGUGGGGGCGGGGUGGCAGCACUGGUAGGCAUCUGGUUUCGUUUAAGACAAGAGGCAGGCAUAAUGAGGGAACUGAUGUAGUAAUGGGGUAGACCAGAUCAUUUAAAAGACUAAGUAGGCUGACAAAAAAAGAUGUAUGGGAGGAAUGGCAAUGGUGAUUAAAAGGAAAUAGAGUGUAGAACAAGGAGGAAAAAAGGAGCAAGUGGGAGAUAUUCAGCAUAGAAUGUCCACAGCUGGUAGGUUGGUUCAAAAGCAAGAUGGAAGGGGCUAUGGAGAAGGGUUGGGGGAAGAGAGAAAAGGCGCAUACCAUGGGGCUAGGAGAAUGAAAAGUGGGGGCAGCGGAGUGUCAUUUCACAUAAUCAUGAAAGAAUGCAUAACAGGAAGAGAUUGCGGAAGGGACAUGGGAGUAUGAAAAUGUGACAUAUCAAGUAUUAAAUGGAAUGCUAACUAAUUUAUACUAAAGUAAGUAUGAAAAUAGUCAAAUACGACUCAUGAUAACUUCCCUAAGAAGAAGCUGAGUUGUAAUACAGUGCCUAGUGCCUGGAAGCUGCCUUCCAGGGUUACUGAGAGGAAUAACACAACCCUAUCCAAUUAUACUCCCACCAUUGACUUUAGCAGGACUUAAUCCCAGGUAACCAUGGAAGGUGUUGCAGGCUUACUGAACCAGCUUUCUGUAAAAGAGCUCAGUCCUGAAAUUUGUGAAGUAAUAACAAAUUUCAUUUUCCUCACUUAUAAGCAAUAAUGACCAGCUCUUGGUUAUCAGAAACAGCAGUGGCUGCAACCCUGAAUGCACUUUACUGGGGAGUAAGCCCUUUUGAAAACAAUGGGAUUCAGUGUGCAUGAGUAAAUAUACAUAGGAUUGCAUUGUAUAACAGUUGCAUUGUGACAAGAAGUUUCAUGGAACAGAGCCUACUGAUAUAUGCAAAAAAUGCAAUAUUCAGUGGACAGAUAAUAUAUACAACUUUAGAGAUAUGAAACAGUAGGACCAAAAGUCUGUGAACUGCAAACGUCCAGGAGGUCUGUGAAAUUUCUGUGCAAAUUCUGUGAUAUUUCUGUGCAAAUGUCACCUCUUAUCUUGUAUACAUCUGGGCUUUGCAAAGAGGUAUCACAAACCUAGUAUUUCCAUUUUUUUCUUUGUACCCAUAUGUAUAUAUUUGCCAAGAAGGCAUACCCUCAGAAAGGACACCCAGGAAUAUUUGAGGCUGGCAGCUCACACUUUAGAAAUUAAGCACAAAGAAACUAAAAUCAAUACAUUUCAAAAUGUGUUGUAUAUUAAGAGGGGCUCUAAACACAGUGGACGCAUUUUAAAUGACUUGAUUCAGCUUUAUGCAUAUGUGACACAAAACAAACAUAAUUGGCAAUCACCCUCCACACAGAGACUUCUCUGGAAAGACACUCUAAGAUAACCUUAAAGAAAAAAAAGAGAAUAAUUGCUAGACAAGGACAUCCAACAACAGCAACAAAAAGACUUCUGUAAUAUGACUAAUGUUCUUGUCUUCUGUUUCUUUGUUAUACUGUAGUGAUACGUGUACCAAAAAUGAAACAAAAUGUUAAGGUAGGGGGAAAUGGGCUCGAAGAAGAGCUAUAGUAUACACUGAACAGCAUAUGCUGACUAUUUUAUACCCAAAUUGUCAAACAUGAAUUUUAAAUUUCUAGCUCUUGUUCCGAUCCUCUUCAACCAGGUGUUGCAAGACUUGCAUAAAGGAAAAUGAGAAAACUGAAGAAACAGUGCUUGAAGUGAGUCUGGGGACUGAGUCCUCUGGAGGCACUGCAGAAGACAAAAGUCUUCCAGAAUUGCAGUGCCCAUUUGUUUGAUAGGAUUGGCAGAAAAGUGUACUUGGCUUUGGAUGGAAUUACAUAAUAUGAUCACCUUGAGCUUGUGCUUUCAUCUCUCUUCUCUAAGAAUAAAGGUGGGUUUAUCUUCCUUUUUUUUCUAGGAAAGAAGAGGAACAAGGACAAACUGCCUGUGCCUUCUGGCUGAAGUUUUUUUCACAGAGUUCGUGGAGAGAGGUAUAUAUUCUGAUAGUGAUCAACAGGCACAUUCUUCAAAGGUCCUGGACACCGCUAUAGAAUAAGUCCAGGGUCCUCUCACUUUGGAUUGCUUCCAAUACUUUGCACAGCACCGCAAGUAUGAAAGGUAAAGCAACUAUAUAUUUUUUUUCUCCUGGGAGUGUUGAGAAAUUAGGGUUAAGAACACAAAGAGGUGAGAGCAGGUGGCUGGAGCAAAGAAAAAUGGAAAAAAUCACAAAGGACCCAAAAGAAAAAGAAUAACAGAAGAAAAGAUGAAGAGAGUCAAAGCCAGGCUAAUGUCAUUAUUUUGAUCUGAAGAACCCUGCCACUCACACCUUGCUUACGGUAUUUCAGCAACCAGGUAAGGAAGAAAUAUGUGAAGGAAAAGCAUACCCACCAAACUCAGAAGGAGGUGAAUUUUCUGGAGUAGUCUCUGGACCUAAAGAAGGAAACAGCAUUGCCAUACUAAAAAAAUAACAAUACAGGGCUCAUGAGAACAUAAGAAGAGCCAUCAGUUGUCCAGCAUCCUGUUCUCACAGUGGUCAGUGACAUGUGGCAUGCCCACCAGCAGAAUCUGAGAGCAAAAAUACUCUGCCGCAUGUGAUUCCCAGCAACUGGUAUUCAGAGGCAUACUAUUUCUGACAGUGGAAGUACAACAUAGUCAUUGUGGCUAGUAACCGCUGUUGGACAGCCUUGACAAUCAAAUGUAUAUGUAUUUUAUGUCUUAUAUUUUGUUUUCUAUUUUUUAUUGUACCUUGUCCAGAGUACUAUGUCUUUAACCGUGCUGUAUUACUGCGUUGAAAGGAAAGAUGAUGUUUA
Podarcis raffonei (Aeolian wall lizard) is the source of this 3781-nucleotide long non-coding RNA. RefSeq lists it as uncharacterized. The record is from RefSeq and is a predicted model, not a curated record. The transcript has 4 exons. NCBI's taxonomy places the organism in Eukaryota, Metazoa, Chordata, Lepidosauria, Squamata, Lacertidae.